RNAcentral lists this non-coding RNA (21 nucleotides) under Caenorhabditis elegans. The record is from RNAcentral. Lineage: Eukaryota; Metazoa; Nematoda; Chromadorea; Rhabditida; Rhabditidae.
UUCAUUUUUCUUGGUAGACUU